GCAGUCGAACGGUAGCACAGAGAGCUUGCUCUCGGGUGACGAGUGGCGGACGGGUGAGUAAUGUCUGGGAAACUGCCUGAUGGAGGGGGAUAACUACUGGAAACGGUAGCUAAUACCGCAUAACGUCGCAAGACCAAAGAGGGGGACCUUCGGGCCUCUUGCCAUCAGAUGUGCCCAGAUGGGAUUAGCUAGUAGGUGGGGUAAUGGCUCACCUAGGCGACGAUCCCUAGCUGGUCUGAGAGGAUGACCAGCCACACUGGAACUGAGACACGGUCCAGACUCCUACGGGAGGCAGCAGUGGGGAAUAUUGCACAAUGGGCGCAAGCCUGAUGCAGCCAUGCCGCGUGUAUGAAGAAGGCCUUCGGGUUGUAAAGUACUUUCAGCGAGGAGGAAGGCAUCAAGGUUAAUAACCUUGGUGAUUGACGUUACUCGCAGAAGAAGCACCGGCUAACUCCGUGCCAGCAGCCGCGGUAAUACGGAGGGUGCAAGCGUUAAUCGGAAUUACUGGGCGUAAAGCGCACGCAGGCGGUCUGUCAAGUCGGAUGUGAAAUCCCCGGGCUCAACCUGNGAACUGCAUUCGAAACUGGCAGGCUAGAGUCUUGU
This 603-nucleotide ribosomal RNA is filed under the name uncultured bacterium. RNAcentral's name for it is "bacterial SSU rRNA". It matches the Rfam family "Bacterial small subunit ribosomal RNA", at positions 57 to 652 of the family's 1533-position model. The record is from RNAcentral.